RNAcentral lists this transfer RNA (68 nucleotides) under Bathydorus laniger. Its description in RNAcentral is "tRNA-Tyr". The record is from RNAcentral. Lineage: Eukaryota; Metazoa; Porifera; Hexactinellida; Lyssacinosida; Rossellidae.
GCCAGAUAAUCUAAAUAAGAUACUUCGCUGUAAACGAAAUAAUAAGAAAAUAACCUCUUUCUAGCCAA